UACGGGGGGGGCAAGCGUUGUUCGGAAUUACUGGGCGUAAAGGGCGCGUAGGCGGCCUUCUAAGUCGAACGUGAAAUCCCCGGGCUCAACCCGGGAACUGCGUCCGAUACUGGAAGGCUUGAAUCCGGGAGAGGGAUGCGGAAUUCCAGGUGUAGCGGUGAAAUGCGUAGAUAUCGAGAGGAACACCAGUGGCGAAGGCGAGUCCCUGGACAACUCCUGACACUAAGGCACGAAAGCUAGGGGAGCAAACAGG
This 253-nucleotide ribosomal RNA is filed under the name uncultured prokaryote. RNAcentral describes it as "partial 16S ribosomal RNA". It matches the Rfam family "Bacterial small subunit ribosomal RNA", at positions 524 to 776 of the family's 1533-position model. The record is from RNAcentral.